AUUGAACGCUGGCGGCAUGCCUUACACAUGCAAGUCGAACGGCAGCACGGGUGCUUGCACCUGGUGGCGAGUGGCGAACGGGUGAGUAAUACAUCGGAACAUGUCCUGUAGUGGGGGAUAGCCCGGCGAAAGCCGGAUUAAUACCGCAUACGAUCUACGGAUGAAAGCGGGGGAUCUUUGGACCUCGCGCUAUAGGGUUGGCCGAUGGCUGAUUAGCUAGUUGGUGGGGUAAAGGCCUACCAAGGCGACGAUCAGUAGCUGGUCUGAGAGGACGACCAGCCACACUGGGACUGAGACACGGCCCAGACUCCUACGGGAGGCAGCAGUGGGGAAUUUUGGACAAUGGGCGAAAGCCUGAUCCAGCAAUGCCGCGUGUGUGAAGAAGGCCUUCGGGUUGUAAAGCACUUUUGUCCGGAAAGAAAUCCUGAGGGCUAAUAUCCUUCGGGGAUGACGGUACCGGAAGAAUAAGCACCGGCUAACUACGUGCCAGCAGCCGCGGUAAUACGUAGGGUGCGAGCGUUAAUCGGAAUUACUGGGCGUAAAGCGUGCGCAGGCGGUUUGUUAAGACCGAUGUGAAAUCCCCGGGCUCAACCUGGGAACUGCAUUGGUGACUGGCAAGCUAGAGUAUGGCAGAGGGGGGUAGAAUUCCACGUGUAGCAGUGAAAUGCGUAGAGAUGUGGAGGAAUACCGAUGGCGAAGGCAGCCCCCUGGGCCAAUACUGACGCUCAUGCACGAAAGCGUGGGGAGCAAACAGG
RNAcentral lists this ribosomal RNA (755 nucleotides) under Burkholderia plantarii. Its description in RNAcentral is "bacterial SSU rRNA". It matches the Rfam family "Bacterial small subunit ribosomal RNA", at positions 28 to 776 of the family's 1533-position model. Lineage: Bacteria; Pseudomonadati; Pseudomonadota; Betaproteobacteria; Burkholderiales; Burkholderiaceae. The record is from RNAcentral.